CGCAUCUGUGCAUGCAGCAUAUCAAUAAGCGGAGGAAAAGACUGCGGAACUGAACGACCGCUACCUACGCUUAGGAUGUUGACGAGACUGUCGAUCUCAUCUAUACAUGACUCUGUGCAUAUCAAUAAGCGGAGGAAAAGAAACUAACAAGGAUUCCCUAGUAACGGCGAGUGAAGCGGGAAGAGCUCAAAUUUGAAAUCUUAAAGGGUUCUACCUUUAACGAAUUGUAGUUUAAAGAAGUGUUUUCUGUUAGAGUUUGAGUAGCAAAAGUUCCUUUGGAAUAGGGACAUCAUAGAGGGUGAGAAUCCCGUAUUUGACCUUCACUUUCAACUUUGUGAUACACUUUCAAAGAGUCGGAUUGUUUGGGAAUGCAGUCCAAAAUGGGUGGUAAAUUUCAUCUAAAGCUAAAUAUUGGCGAGAGACCGAUAGCGAACAAGUACCGUGAGGGAAAGACGAAAAGAACUUUGAAAAGAGAGUUAAACAGUACGUGAAAUUGUCAAAAGGGAAGCGUUUGACACCAGUGUUGUUUUUCUGAAAAUCAAUUAAAGAACUGUUUAUGCUAAGCUGUUUAGACUUUAUCAGCUAACUGUUCAGUUUUGAGCUUUUCUUUAAUGCACUUUUCAGUUAACAAGUCAACAUCAAUUUCUUUUGCUGUAAAAAAGCUUGAGGAAGGUGGCUUGAGAUUCGUCUUAAGUGUUUAUAGCCUCUUGCCUAUGCAGUCGGAGAGAUUGAGGUCUGCAGCGUAGAUCCUUCGGGGCUAAAUGCAUUUGUGCUAAGUUAUAGCAUUUUAUAGACAACUUGUUGACUAUGAUUUGUCUUGUAGCUUACUCGCUUAUGUUAUUUUACCUACGCUUAGGAUGUUGAGCGCAUGUCUCUCUCU
This 880-nucleotide ribosomal RNA is filed under the name uncultured Neocallimastigales. RNAcentral describes it as "partial large subunit ribosomal RNA". The stretch from base 92 to 880 matches the Rfam family "Eukaryotic large subunit ribosomal RNA", at positions 1 to 616 of the family's 3401-position model. Lineage: Eukaryota; Fungi; Neocallimastigomycota; Neocallimastigomycetes; Neocallimastigales. The record is from RNAcentral.